Molecule: ribosomal RNA, 397 nt
Filed under: uncultured bacterium
Lineage: Bacteria
Description: bacterial SSU rRNA
Rfam family: Bacterial small subunit ribosomal RNA
Source: RNAcentral
AGAGUUUGAUCCUGGCUCAGAACGAACGCUGGCGGCAUGCCUAACACAUGCAAGUCGAACGAGACCUUCGGGUCUAGUGGCGCACGGGUGCGUAACGCGUGGGAAUCUGCCCUUGGGUUCGGAAUAACAGCUAGAAAUGGCUGCUAAUACCGAAUAAUGACGUAAGUCCAAAGAUUUAUCGCCCAAGGAUGAGCCCGCGUAGGAUUAGCUAGUUGGUGAGGUAAAAGCUCACCAAGGCGACGAUCCUUAGCUGGUCUGAGAGGAUGAUCAGCCACACUGGGACUGAGACACGGCCCAGACUCCUACGGGAGGCAGCAGUGGGGAAUAUUGGACAAUGGGCGAAAGCCUGAUCCAGCAAUGCCGCGUGAGUGAUGAAGGCCUUAGGGUUGUAAAGCUC